UGAACAACCCUAUAAGGUGGACGAAGAAAAUAGCCUCAUGCUCAUUUUAAAUCUACAGUAACAGAGACUCCAAGACGUUAAGGGGUGAAUUCAUGUGGAUGACUAGCAAAACAAGAGCAAACCAAAAUGAAACAAAAUAAAAAUUAUCAAGUCAUAUCAAGCACACAUGUGGCAGACACAUUUUGUGAUAGAUGACCACUUUUAUAUAAAAACAUACAGCACACAGAGCAAGUGAAACAUGACAUGGAGGUAGAACCCAUAUACAGAUUGAAAUGGAGAAAUUGCCUCCAACCAAAGCAGAAACAGAUGGGAAAGCCUCAGAGGAGCUGUAUCCUAAAG
Long non-coding RNA from Gorilla gorilla gorilla (western lowland gorilla), 339 nucleotides. RefSeq lists it as uncharacterized. NCBI's taxonomy places the organism in Eukaryota, Metazoa, Chordata, Mammalia, Primates, Hominidae. The transcript is spliced from 3 exons. The record is from RefSeq and is a predicted model, not a curated record.